GUAGGUGGCAAGCGUUGUCCGGAAUUAUUGGGCGUAAAGCGCGCGCAGGCGGUUCUUUAAGUCUGAUGUGAAAGCCCGCGGCUCAACCGUGGAGGGUCAUUGGAAACUGGAGAACUUGAGUACAGAAGAGGAAAGCGGAAUUCCACGUGUAGCGGUGAAAUGCGUAGAGAUGUGGAGGAACACCAGUGGCGAAGGCGGCUUUCUGGUCUGUAACUGACGCUGAGGCGCGAAAGCGUGGGGAGCAAACAGGAUUAGAUACCCUGGUAGUCCACGCCUUAAACGAUGAGUGCUAAGUGUUAGGGGGGUUUCCGCCCCCCUUAGUGCUGCAGCUAACGCAUUAAGCACUCCGCCUGGGAGUACGGCCGCAAGGCUG
This 373-nucleotide ribosomal RNA is filed under the name uncultured organism. Its description in RNAcentral is "partial 16S ribosomal RNA". It matches the Rfam family "Bacterial small subunit ribosomal RNA", at positions 527 to 896 of the family's 1533-position model. The record is from RNAcentral.